GGUUAAGCGACUAAGCGUACACGGUGGAUGCCCUGGCAGUCAGAGGCGAUGAAGGACGUGCUAAUCUGCGAAAAGCGUCGGUAAGGUGAUAUGAACCGUUAUAACCGGCGAUGUCCGAAUGGGGAAACCCAGUGUGAUUCGUCACACUAUCGUUAACUGAAUACAUAGGUUAACGAGGCGAACCGGGGGAACUGAAACAUCUAAGUACCCCGAGGAAAAGAAAUCAACCGAGAUUCCCCCAGUAGCGGCGAGCGAACGGGGAGCAGCCCAGAGUCUGAAUCAGCUUGUGUGUUAGUGGAACGGUCUGGAAAGUCCGACGGUACAGGGUGAUAGUCCCGUACACCAAAAUGCACAGGCUGUGAACUCGAAGAGUAGGGCGGGACACGUGGUAUCCUGUCUGAAUAUGGGGGGACCAUCCUCCAAGGCUAAAUACUCCUGACUGACCGAUAGUGAACCAGUACCGUGAGGGAAAGGCGAAAAGAAC
This 484-nucleotide ribosomal RNA is filed under the name Klebsiella pneumoniae. RNAcentral describes it as "partial 23S ribosomal RNA". It matches the Rfam family "Bacterial large subunit ribosomal RNA", at positions 1 to 524 of the family's 2925-position model. RNAcentral also lists the same sequence under 2 other names. Lineage: Bacteria; Pseudomonadati; Pseudomonadota; Gammaproteobacteria; Enterobacterales; Enterobacteriaceae. The record is from RNAcentral.